CCUACACUGCCAUGGAUGU
This 19-nucleotide unclassified non-coding RNA is filed under the name Mus musculus (house mouse). RNAcentral describes it as "oocyte_clustered_small_RNA4114". The record is from RNAcentral. Lineage: Eukaryota; Metazoa; Chordata; Mammalia; Rodentia; Muridae.